Molecule: ribosomal RNA, 437 nt
Filed under: uncultured bacterium
Lineage: Bacteria
Description: bacterial SSU rRNA
Rfam family: Bacterial small subunit ribosomal RNA
Source: RNAcentral
GCUCGUGUCGUGAGAUGUUGGGUUAAGUCCCGCAACGAGCGCAACCCUUGUCAUUAGUUGCUACAUUCAGUUGGGCACUCUAAUGAGACUGCCGGUGACAAACCGGAGGAAGGUGGGGAUGACGUCAAGUCCUCAUGGCCCUUAUGGGUAGGGCCUCACACGUAAUACAAUGGCGCGUACAGAGGGUUGCCAAGGGGUGACCUGGAGCCAAUCCCGCAAAGCGCGUCGUAGUCCGGAUUGGAGUCUGCAACUCGACUCCAUGAAGUCGGAAUCGCUAGUAAUCGCGGAUCAGCAUGUCGCGGUGAAUACGUUCCCGGGUCUUGUACACACCGCCCGUCACACCAUGGGAGUGGGUUUCACCAGAAGCCGGUCGCUUAACCGCAAGGAUGGCGCCGACCACGGUGAGAUUCAUGACUGGGGUGAAGUCGUAACAAGGU